This 561-nucleotide ribosomal RNA is filed under the name Triticum aestivum (bread wheat). RNAcentral's name for it is "partial small subunit ribosomal RNA". Lineage: Eukaryota; Viridiplantae; Streptophyta; Magnoliopsida; Poales; Poaceae. The record is from RNAcentral.
AUGACAUACUUGACUAAAUCCACCUACACUCGUCUUUGUGAGGGUUUGCCGACUUGCCCUUACGCCGCAGCCAUCUGGAGGAGUCUUGCACCCCUCAAAUGCAAGAUCUUUGUUUGGCUGGCUUCCCAACAUCGCUUGUGGACGGUGGAUCGACGCACUCGUCAUGGUUUGCAAGAUCAUACCUCCGCCUGCUAUACUUGCUUACAGGACGAAGACACCGUGGACCACAUCUUGGUGCAAUGUGGCUACGCGCGUGCCACUUGGAUGGGUUGUUUCGACAUGUUACGCAUUCAGAUCUCUUGCCCCGUGAGUACGGACUCCUUUGUCGAAUGGUGGAUGUUGCAACAUUUGGGUUUCGCGAAGGAAGACAAACGUGGGUUCGACACCCUGGUCAUUUGCGCGGCAUGGUCACUCUGGAAGCAAAGGAAUGCCAGGGUGUUCAACGGAGCUGAGCAACAAGUGGACGCACAGGAGCUCAUGAAGAAGAUCCUUGAGGAACUUAGCGAUUGGAAGAUGGCGGUUCGGGGAGGUGGUAGCUUACAAUGCUUUGUGAGAGAUUAG